GCCUCACAUAACAGGCCUCACAGGCAGCAAACGCUUGUUGAACAGAUCGAUGAACUGUCUGCCGCCAAUGAUCAACAAAGCAGGAAUGGAGGCUGCCAGCAGGGAGCAGGUCCCCGCCUGGGGCCCACGGAGAUGAAGACAAGCACCGCCAAGUGUAGCUAAUCCUGCAGAAGGGCUGCUGCUGUCAGGCCAGGAGUUAAAAAGGAAAACCUUGCAGGCCUUCACCACUGCGGCGAUCUGAAGUUUUAAUCAGCCCCAAUCUCCAUCUCUGCAAAAGGCCGUCAAUGAAAUCCACCUUUGCCGUAUUAUCCGCCACCAAUGAGCAAGAACUGAGCAUCUUUUCUUUGCGGCUUCAACCAUCCUGGGGCCACAAGUGGGGCUUUCAUACUUUCUAAUCCGAGUUUCCAAGUCUGUGUGGUUCUCACAUAAUAGCCAACAGCCUGGAGCAAGGGCCUUCCUUUCUGCACCCUUUUCAGAGACGUGUCAUUCCCAACUUCAAGCUAAUCUAUAUGUUGCCAUGGCGUCCCCCUUUAUCUGCCUUUACAUCUUAUGAACUGCAUGGAUUUACCACAUUAUUUUUAUCUGAAAGACAGAAAAUGGUGGUUUUAUUGCCAUACAAUCAGAUUACGGCUGCUAGUUUCUCUAUGCCUUUUUACCACACUUCAAUCAAAAGAGAUCAGUUUCUUUAUACUCUGCCCUUGAUUUACAUUACAUCUGUAAAGACCCAGUCUGGGUUGUAAUCCUCUUAUUAACUAUGACCAGGGUUGAUUUGCCUAAAAAUAAAAGCAAAUUGUGUCAGA
This is a long non-coding RNA of Camelus dromedarius (Arabian camel), 800 nucleotides long. RefSeq lists it as uncharacterized. The transcript has 2 exons. Lineage: Eukaryota; Metazoa; Chordata; Mammalia; Artiodactyla; Camelidae. The record is from RefSeq and is a predicted model, not a curated record.